This 653-nucleotide ribosomal RNA is filed under the name Arthrobacter sp. PO2-19. RNAcentral's name for it is "bacterial SSU rRNA". It matches the Rfam family "Bacterial small subunit ribosomal RNA", at positions 265 to 924 of the family's 1533-position model. The record is from RNAcentral. Lineage: Bacteria; Bacillati; Actinomycetota; Actinomycetes; Micrococcales; Micrococcaceae.
UCACCAAGGCGACGACGGGUAGCCGGCCUGAGAGGGUGACCGGCCACACUGGGACUGAGACACGGCCCAGACUCCUACGGGAGGCAGCAGUGGGGAAUAUUGCACAAUGGGCGCAAGCCUGAUGCAGCGACGCCGCGUGAGGGAUGACGGCCUUCGGGUUGUAAACCUCUUUCAGUAGGGAAGAAGCCUUUCGGGGUGACGGUACCUGCAGAAGAAGCGCCGGCUAACUACGUGCCAGCAGCCGCGGUAAUACGUAGGGCGCGAGCGUUAUCCGGAAUUAUUGGGCGUAAAGAGCUCGUAGGCGGUUUGUCGCGUCUGCUGUGAAAGCCCGGGGCUUAACUCCGGGUCUGCAGUGGGUACGGGCAGACUAGAGUGCAGUAGGGGAGACUGGAAUUCCUGGUGUAGCGGUGAAAUGCGCAGAUAUCAGGAGGAACACCGAUGGCGAAGGCAGGUCUCUGGGCUGUUACUGACGCUGAGGAGCGAAAGCAUGGGGAGCGAACAGGAUUAGAUACCCUGGUAGUCCAUGCCGUAAACGUUGGGCACUAGGUGUGGGGGACAUUCCACGUUUUCCGCGCCGUAGCUAACGCAUUAAGUGCCCCGCCUGGGGAGUACGGCCGCAAGGCUAAAACUCAAAGGAAUUGACGGGGGCCCGC